AGUGGGGGAUAACGUAGCGAAAGUUACGCUAAUACCGCAUAUGCCCUGAGGGGGAAAGGAGGGGAUCGUAAGACCUUUCGCUUUCGGAGUGGCCGAUAUCAGAUUAGCUAGUUGGUGAGGUAAAGGCUCACCAAGGCGACGAUCUGUAGCGGGUCUGAGAGGAUGAUCCGCCACACUGGGACUGAGACACGGCCCAGACUCCUACGGGAGGCAGCAGUGGGGAAUUUUGGACAAUGGGCGCAAGCCUGAUCCAGCCAUGCCGCGUGAGUGAAGAAGGCCUUCGGGUUGUAAAGCUCUUUCAGUCGGAAAGAAAUCAUGCUUACUAAUACUAAGUGUGGAUGACGGUACCGGAAGAAGAAGCACCGGCUAACUACGUGCCAGCAGCCGCGGUAAUACGUAGGGUGCGAGCGUUAAUCGGAAUUACUGGGCGUAAAGCGUGCGCAGGCGGUUUUUUAAGACAGACGUGAAAUCCCCGGGCUUAACCUGGGAACUGCGUUUGUGACUGGAAGGCUAGAGUACGGCAGAGGGGGGUAGAAUUCCA
This 541-nucleotide ribosomal RNA is filed under the name uncultured Gallionellaceae bacterium. RNAcentral describes it as "bacterial SSU rRNA". It matches the Rfam family "Bacterial small subunit ribosomal RNA", at positions 135 to 671 of the family's 1533-position model. Lineage: Bacteria; Pseudomonadati; Pseudomonadota; Betaproteobacteria; Nitrosomonadales; Gallionellaceae. The record is from RNAcentral.